UACGUAGGGGGCGAGCGUUGUCCGGAUUUAUUGGGCGUAAAGGGCUCGUAGGCGGCCAACUAAGUCGGACGUGAAAUCCCUCAGCUUAACUGGGGAACUGCGUCCGAUACUGGAUGGCUUGGAUUUGGGAGAGGGAUGCGGAAUUCCAGGUGUAGCGGUGAAAUGCGUAGAUAUCUGGAGGAACACCGGUGGCGAAGGCGGCAUCCUGGACCAAUAUUGACGCUGAGGAGCGAAAGCUAGGGGAGCAAACGGG
RNAcentral lists this ribosomal RNA (253 nucleotides) under uncultured bacterium. Its description in RNAcentral is "partial 16S ribosomal RNA". It matches the Rfam family "Bacterial small subunit ribosomal RNA", at positions 524 to 776 of the family's 1533-position model. The record is from RNAcentral.